This 245-nucleotide long non-coding RNA is filed under the name Physcomitrium patens. RNAcentral describes it as "long non-coding RNA (PPAT_LNC006045)". Lineage: Eukaryota; Viridiplantae; Streptophyta; Bryopsida; Funariales; Funariaceae. The record is from RNAcentral.
AGGUAAUGGGUGAAGAAGUCAAUAAGAUCAAUGAGGGAGAAUUUUUGAACUUGAGCAAAUAUUACAUGAUUGAAAAAAAUCUUUAACCACCUUCCAUAUUCGUAACUACUAAAAAUCUCUACAUAUCAGCUGUAAAGUCUUUUUCUAUCCAAAAUAUCCAACUAUUAGAAAAUUGUGGCAUGUUUAAAGAACACGUAAACAUGCUUCUUCUUUUCAAACAUAUAGGUACCCUUCAAAAUCAGAUA